GAUGAAGAACGCAGCGAAAUGCGAUACGUAAUGUGAAUUGCAAAUUCAGUGAAUCAUCGAGUCUUUGAACGCACAUUGCGCCCCCUGGUAUUCCGGGGGGCAUGCCUGUCCGAGCGUCAUUGCUGCCCUCAAGCACGGCUUGUGUGUUGGGCCCCGUCCUCCGAUCCCGGGGGACGGGCCCGAAAGGCAGCGGCGGCACCGCGUCCGGUCCUCGAGCGUAUGGGGCUUUGUCACCCGCUCUGUAGGCCCGGCCGGCGCUUGCCGAUCAACCCAAAUUUUUAUCCAUGUUGACCUCGGAUCAGGUAGGGAUACCCGCUGAACUUAAGCAUAUCAAUAAGCGGAGGA
This 345-nucleotide unclassified non-coding RNA is filed under the name soil metagenome. RNAcentral describes it as "partial contains 5.8S ribosomal RNA, internal transcribed spacer 2, and large subunit ribosomal RNA". The stretch from base 1 to 119 matches the Rfam family "5.8S ribosomal RNA", at positions 35 to 154 of the family's 154-position model. The record is from RNAcentral.